Molecule: ribosomal RNA, 301 nt
Filed under: uncultured bacterium
Lineage: Bacteria
Description: partial 16S ribosomal RNA
Rfam family: Bacterial small subunit ribosomal RNA
Source: RNAcentral
CAGCAGCCACGGUAAUACGUAGGGUGCAAGCGUUAAUCGGAAUUACUGGGUGUAAAGCGUGCGCAGGCGGUUUGUUAAGACAGAUGUGAAAUCCCCGGGCUCAACCUGGGAACUGCAUUUGUGACUGGCAAGCUAGAGUGUGGCAGAGGGGGGUGGAAUUCCGCGUGUAGCAGUGCAAUGCGUAGAUAUGCGGAGGAACACCGAUGGCGAAGGCAGCCCCCUGGGCCAACACUGACGCUCAUGCACGAAAGCGUGGGGAGCAAACAGGAUUAGAUAUCCCCGUAGUCCCUGUCUCUUAUAC